AACGUAGGGGGCGAGCGUUGUCCGGAAUUACUGGGCGUAAAGGGCGCGUAGGCGGUUCUUUAAGUCAGAGGUGAAAACUGUCGGCUCAACCGGCAGCCUGCCUUUGAAACUGGAGGACUUGAGGGCAGGAGAGGGGAGUGGAAUUCCCAGUGUAGCGGUGAAAUGCGUAGAUAUCGGGAGGAACACCAGUGGCGAAGGCGACUCUCUGGUCUGACCCUGACGCUGAGGCGCGAAAGCGUGGGGAGCAAACAGGAUUAGAUACCCGGGUAGUCC
Molecule: ribosomal RNA, 273 nt
Filed under: uncultured bacterium
Lineage: Bacteria
Description: partial 16S ribosomal RNA
Rfam family: Bacterial small subunit ribosomal RNA
Source: RNAcentral